Long non-coding RNA from Oncorhynchus tshawytscha (Chinook salmon), 4495 nucleotides. NCBI's taxonomy places the organism in Eukaryota, Metazoa, Chordata, Actinopteri, Salmoniformes, Salmonidae. The record is from Ensembl.
CUGCUCCAGUAACUGUCUGUGGUGUUUCAGAUCUCUGCUCCAGUAACUGUCUGUGGUGUUACAGAUCUCUGCUCCAGUAACUGUCUGUGUUGUUACAGAUCUCUGCUCCAGUAACUGUCUGUGGUAUUUCAGAUCUCUGCUGUGGUAACUGCUGACAUCUAUCACACUUAUUGCCAAGUCACCCAGUCUAAUGCCAAGUCACCCAGUCUAAUGCCAAGUCACCCAGUCUAAUGCCAAGUCACCCAGGUUGAGAUGCCAAGUCACCCAGGUUGAGAUGCCAAGUCACCCAGGUUGAGAUGCCAAGUCACCCAGGUUGAGAUGCCAAGUCACCCAGGUUGAGAUGCCAAGUCACCCAGGUUGAGAUGCCAAGUCACCCAGUCUAAUGCCAAGUCACCCAGGUUGAGAUGCCAAGUCAGCCAGGUUGAGAUGCCAAGUCACCCAGGUUGAGAUGCCAAGUCAGCCAGUCUAAUGCCAAGUCACCCAGGUUGAGAUGCCAAGUCACCCAGUCUGUGCCAAGUCACCCAGUCUAAUGCCAAGUCACCCAGGUUGAGAUGCCAAGUCAGCCAGGUUGAGAUGCCAAGUCACCCAGGUUGAGAUGCCAAGUCAGCCAGUCUAAUGCCAAGUCACCCAGGUUGAGAUGCCAAGUCAGCCAGGUUGAGAUGCCAAGUCACCCAGGUUGAGAUGCCACGACAAACAUUAUCCAUGUAGUUCCCUUUGAGUUGUCUUUACGUUUCCUCUUAGUUUGACCAACAACACUUGCUUUCUAUCUAUUUACCGUUACUAUGCCAUCUGUACAACGUUACAACGCCAUCUGUACAACGUUACAACGCCAUCUGUACAACGUUACAGUGCCUUUGGCCACAUAGGUCUACAUAACCUACUGGCUCAAUAUCUUGAAUGAGAGAGAGCCAGCCUGGUAGGCCAGAUUAAGGUUUAUAUAACAUUACGCCAUGGGCCAUAGGUUUAUAUAACAUUACAAUGACAUUGGUUUAUAUGAACUCCAACAUUUGAUGUGCAGCUUUGUUUAGUGGUGUUGUUGGUAUCACAGUAUAUUCUGUGUUUAGUGGGGGUUAUUGGGAUCCCAGUAUAUUCUGUGUUUAGUGGGGGUCGUUGGGGUUGUUGGGAUCGCAGUAUAUUCUGUGUUUAGUGGGGUUGUUGGGAUCACAGUAUAUUCUGUGUUUAGUGGGGUUGUUGGGAUCACAGUAUAUUCUGUGUUUAGUGGGGUUGUUGGGAUCACAGUAUAUUCUGUGUUUAGUGGGGGUCGUUGGGGUCGUUGGGAUCGCAGUAUAUUCUGUGUUUAGUGGGGUCGUUGGGAUCGCAGUAUAUUCUGUGUUUAGUGGGGUCGUUGGGGUCGUUGGGAUCGCAGUAUAUUCUGUGUUUAGUGGGGGUCGUUGGGAUCGCAGUAUAUUCUGUGUUUAGUGGGGGUCGUUGGGGUCGUUGUAUAUUCUGUGUUUAGUGGGGGUCGUUGGGAUCGCAGUAUAUUCUGUGUUUAGUGGGGUUGUUGGGAUCACAGUAUAUUCUGCGAAUAAAUGCAAUUAGUCUCGCUGAGGAUGAUGGGAUUUUAUAUCAGAUAUGUUGCAGAAGCUUUGAUUCUGUGAUGACUGAAAUGGAGAAUUUAUUUUACCCUCCAAUCGUUUUAUUUUAUUUUGCAAAUGUUUGUUUUUUUAAAUUGUAAAAUGAAUGUUUCUAUCGAAUAUUACUCUUGUAUAAUAUAGCCCUUUACACUCAUAUCUGUAUACAGGAUGAAACGGCAGAUUUGGGCACCUAGGUUGGAACGCAGUGACUGUCCAGUCACAUGACAGUCACAUGACAGUCACAUGACAGUCACAUGACAGACAUGUCAGAGGCUCUGUACUUCACAGCUCUGUGUUCUGACUGACAGCUGUUCUGAACAUGACCACCCCACUCAACAACAAGUUAGUUGCCCCCAUCUCUCCAGGUAAUUGGGCAACUUUCUGUCGUCUGAUUGAGGUUAAAGCUGUAAAUUAAGAGGUGUUUUUAUGUAUUUUGAAAGAUGAGAUGUUGAGGAUUAUAAUGAAUACCGCUUUGAUGUCACACAAGCAAACCAAACACCUGUUGAGUCCAAAUGUGGACUUGAUAUUUUCAUAUCAUAAAGCUCAUGUCACAUAGUGUCCAUGUUUAGAAUCACUGUUGUUUGAUGUACAGCUACAAGAUGACAUGGUUAAAAAACCAGGCUUUCAGUUCAAGCCCACCUGACCCAGGUUGAGAUUCAUAAUGGACUGUUUCUGGACUGGGUGAAACAACAACAGUCAUUGUGUGACGGUGGGGAUGCAGGGUUGUGUUUCAAGACGAAAGAACAAGUGUCCUCUAGUUCCUCACAGCUGGGAGAGGAGGAAAAACGCCUGAUAGCUGAAGACUGUUCGUUGAGUCAUAAAAGUGCAUUGAAAUGUCUUGUGAACUGUGGAGAGGUGUGUUGCCACUUGGAUACACCCCAGGUAGUCUUCUCACUCAGACCCUUGUAAUCGUUUUGUCUUGUGUUUCAUCUACCCCACGUUUUCCAGGAAUAUUCUUAUUAACAUGUUACUGAAUGUAUCCAGAGUAUUUUCAGAUUUCGUGAUCAACAAAUGGGGUGAAAAGUACAGAAAAAUGUAAAAAGAGCAUAAAACCAACCGUGUGAUGUUUAGAUUCAGUCUUGUCAGGUGAACUUUGGUCUGAUGAUUCUCCCAUAAGUUCCAGUGAUUCAUUUCAAUUGCUACCAUGGUAAUAAAUAUGCUUUUCGUAUUUCUAGUGUCAGAAACAUUUAAAUGUGGCCCUAUCCAUUUUGGCCGUUACACUGCUGGGAACUUAAGACUUGUUGCCAUGAAUUUAAAUACGCCUCUGUUUUGAUCAGUAGAAAACCUUUUAAUUGACAAUUUCACUUUCAAGCAACAAUAAAACCCCACAAAGAUCAAGAUUUGUUAUUUGGGUUGUUUAGUGUUUUUGAGGUUUCUGUUAGUAGCUAAACCAGAUUAUACACUGAGUGUACAAAACAUUAGGAACACCUUCCUAAUAUUGAGUUGAACCCCUGUUUUCCCUCAGUACAGCCUUAUUCAUUCUUUGGAGUAUGGUCUCUACAAGGUGUCCAAAGCGUUCCACAGGGAUGCUGGCCCAUGUUGACUCCAACUUCCCACAGUUGUGUCUAGUUGUCUGGAUGUCCUUUGGGUGGUGGACAAUUCUUGAUACACACAGGAAACUGUUGACUGUGGAAAAACCCAGCAGCGUUGCAGUUCUUGACACAAACCGGUGGGCCUGGUACCUACUACCAUACCCCGUUCAAAGGCACUUCAAUAUUUGGUCUUGCCCCAUUCACCCUCUGAAUGGCACACAUACACAAUCCAUGUUUCAAUUGUCUCAAUACUUAAAAAUCCUUCUUUAACCCCGUCUCCUCCCCUUCAUCUACACUGAAGUGGAUUUAAUAGGUGACAUCAAUAAGGGAUCAUAUCUUUCACCUGGAUUCACCUGGCAUGGUAAGAGCAGGUGUUCUGUACACUUGGUGUAUAUGGAGGUUGAAACCAAGCCUUCGUGGUCUGGCUGUCUGUCAUGUUGAAGGAGUUGACUUGAACAAAGCUUUUCUGCUAAUGUUGAUGAUAUCAAUCUGUUAUUUUACAUCUCUGCCAUGACAUGUAAACCUGGAAAAUAAAUACCCUGUGUCCUAUUCCACGUCUCUGGGGAUCUUUUUUCCUUUGGAAACGAGCAUAAUUAAUUCUCUGUAUUUCAUAAAGUCCCACCGUGUCCCAAAUGGCACUCUAUUCCCUCUAUAGCGCACUAGGGGGCCCUGUUCCCUCUAUAGUGCACUAGGGGGGCCCUGUUCCCUCUAUAGCGCACUAGGGGGCCCUGUUCCCUCUAUAGUGCACUAGGGGGCCCUGUUCCCUCUAUAGCGCUCUAGGGGACCCUGUUCCCUCUAUAGUGCACUAGGGGGCCCUGUUCCCUCUAUAGCGCUCUAGGGGGCCCUGUUCCCUCUGUAGUGCACUAGGGGGCCCUGUUCCCUCUGUAGUGCACUAGGGGGCCCUGUUCCCUCUAUAGCGCUCUAGGGGGCCCUGUUCCCUAUAUAGUGCACUAGGGGGCCCUGUUCCCUCUAUAGUGCACUAGGGGCCCUGUUCCCUCUAUAGUGCACUAGGGGGCCCUGUUCCCUCUAUAGCGCUCUAGGGGGGCCCUGUUCCCUCCCAAGCCAUUUGAGUCGGAGUAAAACGAGGCUCUGUGUUAAAUCCUUCAUUACUACCUGAGAUCUUCACUAAUGCAGUGGUUGAAUGGAGCAUGUUACUCCUUUACUACUAUGUCAUUACUAUAGUAUUCACUAAACAGACCUGGCCUCUUCUCGGCAGAUUGUGUAGGGCAGGCUUUCUUGGUUGACAGAUGAACACAACGAUACGGCAUGUCGGUCUGUCUGCAUGUCUGUCUGUCUGUCUGUCUGCGUGUCGAUCUAACUGCAUGUCUGUCUGCAUGUCUAACUGCAUGUCUGUCUGUCUGUCUGCAUGUCUAUCGAUCUGCGUAACUG